UCCCCGUUAACCGGGGCAGUCCCCCUAGAGUUCCCGGCCUGACCCGUUGGCAACUAGGGGCGAGGGUUGCGCUCGUUGCGGGACUUAACCCAACAUCUCACGACACGAGCUGGCGACAGCCAUGCAGCACCUGUGUCGGCUCCCGAAGGAGGACCGGCUUUCACCGGCUUCACCCCGCAUGUCAAGCCCUGGUAAGGUUCUUCGCGUUGCGUCGAAUUAAGCCACAUGCUCCGCCGCUUGUGCGGGCCCCCGUCAAUUCCUUUGAGUUUUAGCCUUGCGGCCGUACUCCCCAGGCGGGGCGCUUAAUGCGUUAGCUGCGGCACGGAGGACGUGGAAUGUCCCCCACACCUAGCGCCCAACGUUUACGGCGUGGACUAC
RNAcentral lists this unclassified non-coding RNA (378 nucleotides) under uncultured bacterium. Its description in RNAcentral is "contains 16S-23S intergenic spacer region". The record is from RNAcentral.